Molecule: ribosomal RNA, 358 nt
Filed under: uncultured Alphaproteobacteria bacterium
Lineage: Bacteria; Pseudomonadati; Pseudomonadota; Alphaproteobacteria
Description: bacterial SSU rRNA
Rfam family: Bacterial small subunit ribosomal RNA
Source: RNAcentral
GAGUUUGAUCGUGACUCAGAACGAACGCUGGCGGCAUGCCUAACACAUGCAAGUCGAACGAGACCUUCGGGUCUAGUGCGCACGGGUGCGUAACGCGUGGGAAUCUGCCCUUGGGUUCGGAAUAACAGUUAGAAAUGACUGCUAAUACCGGAUGAUGACUUCGGUCCAAAGAUUUAUCGCCCAGGGAUGAGCCCGCGUACGGAUUAGCUUGUUGGUGAGGUAAAAAGCUCGACCAAGGCGACGAUCCGUAGCUGGUCUGAGAGGAUGAUCAGCCACACUGGGGACUGAGACACGGCCCAGACUCCUACGGGAGGCAGCAGUGGGGAAUAUUGGACAAAUGGGCGAAAAGCCUGAAUCC